Molecule: ribosomal RNA, 253 nt
Filed under: uncultured bacterium
Lineage: Bacteria
Description: partial 16S ribosomal RNA
Rfam family: Bacterial small subunit ribosomal RNA
Source: RNAcentral
UACAGAGGGUGCAAGCGUUAAUCGGAAUUACUGGGCGUAAAGCGCGCGUAGGCGGUUAUGUAAGUCAGGUGUGAAAGCCCAGGGCUCAACCUUGGAAUUGCAUUUGAGACUGCAUAGCUAGGGUGCGGAAGAGGGAAGCGGAAUUUCCGGUGUAGCGGUGAAAUGCGUAGAUAUCGGAAGGAACACCAGUGGCGAAAGCGGCUUCCUGGUCCAGCACCGACGUUCAGGCACGAAAGCGUGGGGAGCAAACAGG